RNAcentral lists this ribosomal RNA (1143 nucleotides) under Triticum aestivum (bread wheat). Its description in RNAcentral is "partial small subunit ribosomal RNA". Lineage: Eukaryota; Viridiplantae; Streptophyta; Magnoliopsida; Poales; Poaceae. The record is from RNAcentral.
AUGGUGCGAGGGUGCAUCAACGACCAGUCAGUGCGCCCUGCUGCCCAGCCGCGCUUGCAGUCUGUCGCCUGGGGGCUGGUGAACGGCGAGCCUCGCCAUCGCGACUGCGACAACGAACGUCGUAGAGAUGAUGACCGUGACUGUGAAGACCGGUUCAGAGACAAGCGAUCUGCGGGUCGCCUUUCAUGUUGGGGCUCCGUUGCUGCUGCCACCACCACCAUGGACUCUCGCGGGCGCUCACCUCCACCGUCGCCGCGCACCACUUCUCAGGACAUCGUCCAGAUCAAGACUUCCUGCUCUGCAAUGAUCUCGCCUCCGCCGUCGCCGCGCACCACCUCUCGGGACAUCAUCCAAAUUCUGCCUACCAGCUCUGUCUUGAGUUGGCUUUGCAGAUCCACCGCUAGCCUGAAUGCUACGAUCCGGCCGUCCAAAAUGCUGGAUGUUGGCGAGGCGCCCGACCACAUCGUGUUGUGCACUGAGGCGCACCUAGGCCCUGCGGCCUUCCCUUCCAGUUCGACAGAGGGGGGCCUAAUCUCGUCGAAUGCAGCGAUGGAGAUCGCUUUGGCCACUUCAGAUCUGACUGAUGCUACACCAGAACCUAUCCUCGACACACCGACACCGUCGCCGCUGCCACAUGGUCAUGAAGAGACAACUCCAAUUGAUCAUGAAGUGACAACGCCAAUUCAUAUCCCUUCCUUCCACGCACAGACGGAGGGCCAGGAGGACACACCCAUCUUCGUCCCGCGCAUGCCGGCGCUGCUGCCUUCUCCUGCUAUGUGCUCUACGCCUCCAAGGGCACCGAAAGCAAGAAGAAAAACCCUCGCAGGGGUCACCGGCCUACAGCUCAUUUGCCACAGUCCGCGUCUUCGGGCAAAGAACAAGAACAUGCCGAUCGCCAAACUUGCGGAGAAGUUACUAUGUCAUCGGAUGGGCAUCGUGGCCGAAGGAGAGCAGAUAACUGAGGCAGCAAUUGCAAAAUUUGCCUCGUUGUUCCAAGGGCGCCUCCCUGACAUUGCGAUUGCGGCUCUUCGAGCCCUAUUUAGACUUGACUGCGAUCUCUCUGCUGCUGUUGAAGAAGCCCUGGUCCAUCAUGGAGGACAGGGAGGUCUAGACGUGAGCGACGCUGCCACGGGCGAUGUAUGA